RNAcentral lists this unclassified non-coding RNA (219 nucleotides) under uncultured fungus. Its description in RNAcentral is "sequence contains ITS1, 5.8S rRNA gene". The stretch from base 171 to 219 matches the Rfam family "5.8S ribosomal RNA", at positions 1 to 49 of the family's 154-position model. Lineage: Eukaryota; Fungi. The record is from RNAcentral.
UCUCCGUUGGUGAACCAGCGAAGGGAUCAUUACAGAGUUAUCUAACUCCCAAACCAUUGUGAACUUACCAUAUGUUGCCUCGGCAGAACCUACCCUGUAGCGGGCUGCCGGCGGACCUCUAAACUCUUGUUAUACUAUUGUAAUCUGAGCGUCUUAUUUUAAUAAGUCAAAACUUUCAACAACGGAUCUCUUGGUUCUGGCAUCGAUGAAGAACGCAGC